AUGUCAUGUGCUGUUGGUGUGACGUUGUCUGUGAUGAGUUGUAUGGGUUUUGCCAUCCCACCAUCUCCCAUACAACUCAUCACAGAUGACCUCACACCAACAGCAUGUGACA
Molecule: non-coding RNA, 112 nt
Organism: Xyrichtys novacula (pearly razorfish)
Lineage: Eukaryota; Metazoa; Chordata; Actinopteri; Labriformes; Labridae
Source: the annotation of a GenBank genome assembly